UACGGAGGGUGCGAGCGUUGUCCGGAAUCACUGGGCGUAAAGGGCGCGUAGGCGGCCAACUAAGUCCGACGUGAAAUCCCCAGGCUUAACCUGGGAACUGCGUCGGAUACUGGUUGGCUUGAAUCCGGGAGAGGGAUGCGGAAUUCCAGGUGUAGCGGUGAAAUGCGUAGAUAUCUGGAGGAACACCGGUGGCGAAGGCGGCAUCCUGGACCGGCAUUGACGCUGAACAGCGAAAGCCAGGGGAGCAAACGGG
Molecule: ribosomal RNA, 253 nt
Filed under: uncultured bacterium
Lineage: Bacteria
Description: partial 16S ribosomal RNA
Rfam family: Bacterial small subunit ribosomal RNA
Source: RNAcentral